Molecule: microRNA, 21 nt
Filed under: Plutella xylostella (diamondback moth)
Lineage: Eukaryota; Metazoa; Arthropoda; Insecta; Lepidoptera; Plutellidae
Description: pxy-miR-8530-5p
Source: miRBase by way of RNAcentral
ACAGAUCGUGAUGGCCUUAGA